UCCGGCCGCCNUGGCCGCGGGAUUUUCCGGUUGAUCCUGCCAGAGGUCACUGCUAUCGGGGUUCGAUUAAGCCAUGCGAGUCGAGAGGGUUCGGCCCUCGGCGUACUGCUCAGUAACACGUGGAUAACCUGCCCUAGGGGAGGGGAUAACCCCGGGAAACUGGGGAUAAUACCCUAUAGGUUACAGAUGCUGGAAUGCCCUGUAACCAAAAGCUCCGGCGCCCUAGGAUGGAUCUGCGGCCGAUUAGGUUGUUGUUGGGGUAACGGCCCAACAAGCCCGUAAUCGGUACGGGUUGUGGGAGCAAGAGCCCGGAGUUGGAUUCUGAGACACGAAUCCAGGCCCUACGGGGCGCAGCAGGCGCGAAACCUUUACAAUGCGGGCAACCGUGAUAAGGGAACCUCGAGUGCCUGUAAACGCAGGCUGUUCAGGUGUUUAAAACGCACCUGGAGAAAGGGCCGGGCAAGACCGGUGCCAGCCGCCGCGGUAAUACCGGCGGCUCGAGUGGUGGCCGCUUUUAUUGGGCUUAAAGCGUUCGUAGCUGGGUUGUUAAGUCUCUUGGGAAAUCUGGCGGCUUAAUCGUCAGGCGUCUAAAGGGAUACUGGCAAUCUUGGAACCGGGAGAGGUGAGGGGUACUUCGGGGGUAGGGGUGAAAUCCUGUAAUCCUCGAGGG
Molecule: ribosomal RNA, 670 nt
Filed under: uncultured archaeon
Lineage: Archaea
Description: bacterial SSU rRNA
Rfam family: Archaeal small subunit ribosomal RNA
Source: RNAcentral